CCAAUAGCGUAUAUUAAAGUUGUUGCAGUUAAAAAGCUCGUAGUUGAAUUUCGGGAUCAAUUAAUUGGUCGUGCCUCUGGUACGUACUGAUUUUAUUGGUUUCUCCCUUCUGACGAACCAUGAUGUCAUUAAUUUGGUGUGGUGGAGAAUCAGGACUGUUACUUUGAAAAAAUUAGAGUGUUUAAAGCAAGCUAACGCUUGAAUACAUUAGCAUGGAAUAAUGAAAUAGGACGUUUGAUCCUAUUUUGUUGGUUUCUAGGAUCGACGUAAUGAUUAAUAGGGAUAGUUGGGGGCAUUAGUAUUCAAUUGUCAGAGGUGAAAUUCUUGGAUUUAUUGAAGACUAACUACUGCGAAAGCAUUUGCCAAGGAUGUUUUCAUUAAUCAAGAACGAAAGUUAGGGGAUCGAAGACGAUCAGAUACCGUCGUAGUCUUAACCAUAAACUAUGCCGACUAGGGAUCGGAUGAUGUUAAUUUUUUAAUGACUCAUUCGGCGCCUUACG
Molecule: ribosomal RNA, 500 nt
Filed under: uncultured Glomeromycotina
Lineage: Eukaryota; Fungi; Glomeromycota
Description: partial small subunit ribosomal RNA
Rfam family: Eukaryotic small subunit ribosomal RNA
Source: RNAcentral